UGGGGAAUUUUCCGCAAUGGGCGGAAAGCCUGACGGGAGCAAUGCCGCGUGGAGGUGGAAGGCCUACGGGUCGUCAACUUCUUUUCUCGGAGAAGAAACAAUGACGGUAUCUGAGGAAUAAGCAUCGGCUAACUCUGUGCCAG
This 143-nucleotide ribosomal RNA is filed under the name uncultured bacterium. RNAcentral's name for it is "partial 16S rRNA". It matches the Rfam family "Bacterial small subunit ribosomal RNA", at positions 355 to 511 of the family's 1533-position model. The record is from RNAcentral.